CAAUCUGCCCUUCAUUAUGGGACAAGCCCUGGAAACGGGGUCUAAUACCGGAUACGACUGCGGAAGGCAUCUUCCGCGGUGGAAAGCUCCGGCGGUGAAGGAUGAGCCCGCGGCCUAUCAGCUUGUUGGUGGGGUAAUGGCCUACCAAGGCGACGACGGGUAGCCGGCCUGAGAGGGCGACCGGCCACACUGGGACUGAGACACGGCCCAGACUCCUACGGGAGGCAGCAGUGGGGAAUAUUGCACAAUGGGCGAAAGCCUGAUGCAGCGACGCCGCGUGAGGGAUGACGGCCUUCGGGUUGUAAACCUCUUUCAGCAGGGAAGAAGCGAAAGUGACGGUACCUGCAAAAGAAGCGCCGGCUAACUACGUGCCAGCAGCCGCGGUAAUACGUAGGGCGCAAGCGUUGUCCGGAAUUAUUGGGCGUAAAGAGCUCGUAGGCGGCCAGUCACGUCGGAUGUGAAAGCCCGAGGCUUAACCUCGGGUCUGCAUUCGAUACGGGCUGGCUAGAGUGUGGUAGGGGAGAUCGGAAUUCCUGGUGUACCGGUGAAAUGCGCAGAUAUCAGGAGGAACACCGGUGGCGAAGGCGGAUCUCUGGGCCAUUACUGACGCUGAGGAGCGAAAGCGUGGGGAGCGAACAGGAUUAAAUAACCCUGGUAUCCAGGCCGUAAACGUUGGGCACUAGGUGUUGGCGACAUUCCACGUCGUCGGUGCCGCAGCUAACGCAUUAAGUUACCCGCCCUGGGGAGUACGGCCGCAAGGCUAAAACUCAAAGGAAUUGACGGGGUCCCGCACAAGCGCGGAGCAUGUGGUUUAAUUUGAAGCAACGCGAAGAACCUUACCAAGGCUGGACAUAUACCGGAAACAUCCAGAGAUGGGUGCCCCCUUGUGGUCGGUAUACAGGUGGUCCCUGCCUGUCGUCAGCUCGUGUCGUGAGAUGUUGGGUUAAGUACCGCAACGAGCGCAACCCUUGUCCUGUGUUGCCAGCAUCCCCUUCGGGGUGAGGGGGACUCACAGGAGACCGCCGGGGUCAACUCGGAGGAAGGUGGGGACGACGUCAAGUCAUCAUGCCCCUUAUGUCUUGGGCUGCACACGUGCUACAAUGGCCGGUACAAUGAGCUGCGAUACCGUGAGGUGGAGCGAAUCUCAAAAAGCCGGUCUCAGUUCGGAUUGGGGUCUGCAACUGGACCCCAGAAGUCGGAGUCGCUAGUAAU
RNAcentral lists this ribosomal RNA (1212 nucleotides) under Streptomyces toxytricini. RNAcentral describes it as "bacterial SSU rRNA". It matches the Rfam family "Bacterial small subunit ribosomal RNA", at positions 122 to 1342 of the family's 1533-position model. Lineage: Bacteria; Bacillati; Actinomycetota; Actinomycetes; Kitasatosporales; Streptomycetaceae. The record is from RNAcentral.